Molecule: long non-coding RNA, 425 nt
Organism: Rhincodon typus (whale shark)
Lineage: Eukaryota; Metazoa; Chordata; Chondrichthyes; Orectolobiformes; Rhincodontidae
Exons: 3
Source: RefSeq, a predicted model, not a curated record
CAGAGAAGGAGAACUCACAGAUGCCGGAGAGGGCAAAAUGUAUUACAGAAGGAUUAACCAGCAGACAAUGACAAAAAAGGAUUAACUCUUCCAGUACCAUUAAUGCUAAUAACAGUUCCGAGCAGAUAAGUGCCAGAGGAAUAACUGUUGCUGAAGAUUGAUGACAUCAACACCACAGCAUAAAAGUACAUGGCUCAAGCUAAUUUCAGAGUUUCGACAGAACUCAUGGCCAACACAGAAUGGACUGAAGAAUCUAUGUUAUCCAAUGGCUGAAUCUGAACUUAUAAACAACAAACAUGAAUUGAACACUUCUAUGACCCUCUUGAAUUUAACAGGAACACAACACAGGUGGCACGGUGGCUCAGUGGUUAGCACUACUACCUCAGAGAGCCAGGGACCCAGGUUCGAUGUUACCCUCGGGUGAC